CCACCCAUAAUUUCUUAGAUAAAAUCUCAGGAGGUAUGCUGUGACUGCUCAGUCUCCUCAGGCUACAUCCUAAAAAUGAAGUUUCCUGUUCACCUUUUGGUGUUGCUGCUGUGGAUUCCUGCUUCCAGAGGUGAUGUUGUUUUGGUGACACAAACUCCAAGCUCCCUGCCUGUCAGCCUUGGCGAUCAAGCCUCUAUCUCUUGCAAGUCUAGUAAGAGCCUUGUACACAAUAAUGGAAUCACCUAUUUAGCAUGGUUCCUGCAGAAGCCAGGCCAGCUACCUCAGAGCCUCAUCCAUACAGUAUCCAACCGAUUUUCUGGGGUCCCAGACAGGUUCAGUGGCAGUGGGUCAGUGUCAGACUUCACACUCAAGAUCAGCAGAGUAGAGCCUGAGGAUUUGGGAGUUUAUUACUGCUUACAGUAUGUACAUUAUCCUCUCACAGUGAUUUAUACCCCAACAAAAAUGUCGUUGCUUAGAAUGGCCCAGCUGCUAAUAUGUUACUCAACAAUGUCAAAGUGAUGCAAAAGAAAUACAGAUUGUUGUUUACAUCUGUGGGCCUUGAGCAUGACUGCCUUCAUAAUACCUCAUGAGUUAUGCACUGCUGACCUCCUCAGCUGCAAUGACAAUAUCGUAUCUUCCUCAGGAGAAGGUUAAACGACUGCCCUCUGAGCAAUCAGCAAUGAAGAAGUUAAAUUUUAGUGAAACCAUCCUGGUCCAACAUCCCUUUUAAAUGGUUUCUCAUUUAAUAUUAUCUUGUAAAACAGUCAGGAGACUGAGAUGUCUCUCUUGAUUAAAAUGUCUACUUUAUAUGAUACUUAUUUUCUUUGUCACUUUAUGUAUUUGUCCUAAUUUCCAUUUUAUUAAUUAAGUUUUUCAUAUCCUACUCUUAUUUAUGCUAUUUAAUAAAGUCUA
Rattus norvegicus (Norway rat) is the source of this 912-nucleotide non-coding RNA. NCBI's taxonomy places the organism in Eukaryota, Metazoa, Chordata, Mammalia, Rodentia, Muridae. The record is from the annotation of a RefSeq genome assembly.